Molecule: ribosomal RNA, 433 nt
Filed under: uncultured bacterium
Lineage: Bacteria
Description: partial 16S ribosomal RNA
Rfam family: Bacterial small subunit ribosomal RNA
Source: RNAcentral
AACGAACGCUGGCGGCAUGCCUAACACAUGCAAGUCGAACGAAGGCUUCGGCCUUAGUGGCGCACGGGUGCGUAACGCGUGGGAAUCUGCCCUUUGGUUCGGAAUAACAGCUGGAAACGGCUGCUAAUACCGGAUGAUGACGAAAGUCCAAAGAUUUAUCGCCAGAGGAUGAGCCCGCGUUGGAUUAGGUAGUUGGUGUGGUAAAGGCCUACCAAGCCGACGAUCCAUAGCUGGUCUGAGAGGAUGAUCAGCCACACUGGGACUGAGACACGGCCCAGACUCCUACGGGAGGCAGCAGUGGGGAAUAUUGGACAAUGGGCGCAAGCCUGAUCCAGCAAUGCCGCGUGAGUGAUGAAGGCCCUAGGGUUGUAAAGCUCUUUUACCCGGGAAGAUAAUGACGGUACCGGGAGAAUAAGCCCCGGCUAACUCCGUG